CCUGGCGGCGAUAGCGCGGUGGUCCCACCUGACCCAUGCCGAACUCAGAAGUGAAACGCCGUAGCGCCGAUGGUAGUGUGGGGUCUCCCCAUGCGAGAGUAGGGAACUGCCAGGU
Molecule: ribosomal RNA, 115 nt
Filed under: Plesiomonas shigelloides
Lineage: Bacteria; Pseudomonadati; Pseudomonadota; Gammaproteobacteria; Enterobacterales; Enterobacteriaceae
Source: RNAcentral